GACGAACGCUGGCGGCGUGCUUAACACAUGCAAGUCGUACGGUAAGGCCCUUUCGGGGGUACACGAGUGGCGAACGGGUGAGUAACACGUGAGUAACCUGCCCACAACUUUGGGAUAACGCUAGGAAACUGGUGCUAAUACUGGAUAUGUGCUCCUGCUGCAUGGUGGGGGUUGGAAAGCUCCGGCGGUUGUGGAUGGACUCGCGGCCUAUCAGCUUAUUGGUGGGGUAGUGGCCUACCAAGGCGGCGACGGGUAGCCGGCCUGAGAGGGUGACCGGCCACAUUGGGACUGAGAUACGGCCCAGACUCCUACGGGAGGCAGCAGUGGGGAAUAUUGCACAAUGGGCGCAAGCCUGAUGCAGCAACGCCGCGUGCGGGAUGACGGCCUUCGGGUUGUAAACCGCUUUCAGCAGGGACGAAGCUUUUUGUGACGGUACCUGCAGAAGAAGCACCGGCUAACUACGU
RNAcentral lists this ribosomal RNA (464 nucleotides) under uncultured bacterium. RNAcentral describes it as "partial 16S ribosomal RNA". It matches the Rfam family "Bacterial small subunit ribosomal RNA", at positions 28 to 506 of the family's 1533-position model. The record is from RNAcentral.